GAUGAACGCUGGCGGCGUGCCUAAUACAUGCAAGUCGAGCGAACGGACGAGAAGCUUGCUUCUCUGAUGUUAGCGGCGGACGGGUGAGUAACACGUGGAUAACCUACCUAUAAGACUGGGAUAACUUCGGGAAACCGGAGCUAAUACCGGAUAAUAUUUUGAACCGCAUGGUUCAAAAGUGAAAGACGGUCUUGCUGUCACUUAUAGAUGGAUCCGCGCUGCAUUAGCUAGUUGGUAAGGUAACGGCUUACCAAGGCAACGAUGCAUAGCCGACCUGAGAGGGUGAUCGGCCACACUGGAACUGAGACACGGUCCAGACUCCUACGGGAGGCAGCAGUAGGGAAUCUUCCGCAAUGGGCGAAAGCCUGACGGAGCAACGCCGCGUGAGUGAUGAAGGUCUUCGGAUCGUAAAACUCUGUUAUUAGGGAAGAACAUAUGUGUAAGUAACUGUGCACAUCUUGACGGUACCUAAUCAGAAAGCCACGGCUAACUACGUGCCAGCAGCCGCGGUAAUACGUAGGUGGCAAGCGUUAUCCGGAAUUAUUGGGCGUAAAGCGCGCGUAGGCGGUUUUUUAAGUCUGAUGUGAAAGCCCACGGCUCAACCGUGGAGGGUCAUUGGAAACUGGAAAACUUGAGUGCAGAAGAGGAAAGUGGAAUUCCAUGUGUAGCGGUGAAAUGCGCAGAGAUAUGGAGGAACACCAGUGGCGAAGGCGACUUUCUGGUCUGUAACUGACGCUGAUGUGCGAAAGCGUGGGGAUCAAACAGGAUUAGAUACCCUGGUAGUCCACGCCGUAAACGAUGAGUGCUAAGUGUUAGGGGGUUUCCGCCCUUUAGUGCUGCAGCUAACGCAUUAAGCACUCCGCCUGGGGAGUACGACCGCAAGGUUGAAACUCAAAGGAAUUGACGGGGACCCGCACAAGCGGUGGAGCAUGUGGUUUAAUUCGAAGCAACGCGAAGAACCUUACCAAAUCUUGACAUCCUCUGACCCCUCUAGAGAUAGAGUUUUCCCCUUCGGGGGACAGAGUGACAGGUGGUGCAUGGUUGUCGUCAGCUCGUGUCGUGAGAUGUUGGGUUAAGUCCCGCAACGAGCGCAACCCUUAAGCUUAGUUGCCAUCAUUAAGUUGGGCACUCUAAGUUGACUGCCGGUGACAAACCGGAGGAAGGUGGGGAUGACGUCAAAUCAUCAUGCCCCUUAUGAUUUGGGCUACACACGUGCUACAAUGGACAAUACAAAGGGCAGCGAAACCGCGAGGUCAAGCAAAUCCCAUAAAGUUGUUCUCAGUUCGGAUUGUAGUCUGCAACUCGACUAUAUGAAGCUGGAAUCGCUAGUAAUCGUAGAUCAGCAUGCUACGGUGAAUACGUUCCCGGGUCU
RNAcentral lists this ribosomal RNA (1372 nucleotides) under uncultured bacterium. RNAcentral's name for it is "bacterial SSU rRNA". It matches the Rfam family "Bacterial small subunit ribosomal RNA", at positions 28 to 1381 of the family's 1533-position model. The record is from RNAcentral.